Long non-coding RNA from Choloepus didactylus (southern two-toed sloth), 2897 nucleotides. RefSeq lists it as uncharacterized. The transcript is spliced from 3 exons. NCBI's taxonomy places the organism in Eukaryota, Metazoa, Chordata, Mammalia, Pilosa, Megalonychidae. The record is from RefSeq and is a predicted model, not a curated record.
UCCCUGAACAUGAUAUGCUUCUUUGUUUUCUUUUAUGUCCCUUAAAGUUUUAAGAGUUUCUUCAUAUUGGCUCCAAACACCGAUUAUUAGAUUUUUUUCCCCUAGAGAUUUUAUAUUUUAAUUGCUAUUAUAAAUGGAAUCUUUUGGCCAUUAUAUAUACUUUUAACUCAAUGGUUCAUAACCAGGGGUACCAAACAGAAUCACCUGUGUAGCUUUUUAAAUAUGUGGACAUGUUCUUUGAAGGGUUAUUCUGAAAGAAAGUCAUCACUAUGAAAGCAAUUUUCUAUUGCAAAAGCUAUUUGAUUAAUUAUCUAUAAAAAUGUAAGCAACCACUAAUUUUAAAUGUCAUGAGAUACAGAAAUAAAAGCUAAAAAUACUGUUAUUUAUGCAAAUUUUAUUCAUCACAGAAAUUUUAAAUAUACAUAUUCAAAAUACAUACAAUCCUAAUAUAACAAUCCUAAACAAAAAGUUUGAUGUCUCAAUUCUUUGAUAAAUCUUAUCGGAUGAUACUGUGAUUCUAAAAAAAUUUAUAGGGCUUCUUUUACUGCUUUUCUCUCUGGCUUCCUUCCUAUCUGCGUGAUUCUGCCAAGUACCUUCAAAAAGCAUGUUUUGAAUUUUCCCCUCAAUUAGGCCUAUGAUAGCUCAGUUGGCUCCAUUUUGAGACAGUGAAAUGGGAGAAGAAACUGUUCUAUGGAAGACUAUGGGGUAUGCUUCCAUACUGUGUACAGAGAAAAACUACAGGUUUAUUCUGAAUUGUGAAGAAGUGGUGUUGUGAAUGAUCUUAGCUGUCUCCCUUUUGUCUAUCUGAAUUUAAAAAAAUUCAUAAUAAACAUGCAUGACACAUAAUUUUUGAAAAAUUAUCCCCAGUCAAGACCAUAAAAGAACCAAAAUAGAUCUCAGGUCUAGAGGCACAAGGUACGGCUAGCUGUAUGUAUUCUGUAAAAGCAGAGAAAGAUGGUGCUGGUAAGGGACUAGAACCUGAUCAUAUGAAGAAGUGCUUCUCAAAUUAUCUGUGGUGAAGGACCAGAUUUUUUCCCUCAGGUAUACCAUGAACCAACACUUUUGUAAAAUACAAAAUUAUGUGCUAUGAUUUCACAGCAAUGUCAUAUUACUACAACAGUUUCUAAAUGUUUACUCUCAAUUCUGUAAACUUAUCUUGUUGCAGACCAGUAACAGCAGAAAGACUGCUACUGGUCUGCAAACUAUUCUUUGACAGCAUUGCUAUAAAAGCCAGACCAAACUGGAUUUUUAUGACCAACAUUUCCUCUGAAGAUGACAAAAACAACUACAAAAACUGGACGAAAUAAAAAAAAAGAUUUUAAAGUUUCAAAGACUUAACAAUAUAAUGAUUGAAAAUGUACCGAAUGAGAAUGGGGAAAGGAUUAAAGCUCAAAGAUGUGAACCAGAGAUGCUUCCGCCUUGGGGGCGGCGAGAGGGCUAUGGAAAAAAGUUUAACAGAAGGCAGCUGAAUUCUCCUAUCUGCUUCUGCAUUUGAUCUCUUACAAUGUUAUUUGGUUGAAGUAAAUGAAGAAAAUCCAGCCUCAUACAGAUAUGUAAUUGGAAGAAGAUGCAUUUUAAUAGCCCUCUCAGACAUUUGUGAAUAUUCUUCUUUGAUACUAAACCAAAACUCAACAAAUGGCAGUUUCUUAAAGGUUUUGUGGAAAUUGUCUAGUAGAAUCUAAAACAUAAAUGGAAUCGCAAAAGGCCAAGAAGACCAAAGAUAUUUUUGGAGAAUAACAAGUUGGGAGGAUUUGCUCUACUCGAUUUCAAAAUGUAGCACUAUAAAGCUAAAGACUGCAUGCUAUGGACACCAGGACAAGAAUGGAGAGCCUAGAACAAGAACCAUACACAAAUGGAUGUUUGAUUUAUGACAAAGGUGUCAUUGCAGAGUAUUGGACAAAAAUAGUCUCUUCCAAUAAAUAUGUGCUUCUGUGUACGUGGAUAUGUGUAUCUGAAUGUCCAUGGCAGUAUUGCUCACGAUAGCAUCAACCUAAAUGUCCAUCAAUAGUAGAAUGGAUAACACAUUGGUAGGUAUAUUCAUACAAUAGACUAUACACAGCCAUGAAAAGAAAUUAACAACAGCUACACGAAGGAAUAUGGUUGAAUCCUAAAGAUAGAACAUUGAGUGAAAGAAGCAGACAGCAGCAUACAAACUGUAUGACUUAUUUUAUAUAUAUAUAGUUCAAAAACAGAAAUAAUCUUAUUUUGCUGUAAUUAAUAAUUAAAACUAGCAUUUACUGAGCACCUCCUAUGUAGUAUUUUACAUGCAUUAAUUCGUUUAAUGGUUACAAGAACACUGUGAGGUAGGUAUGAUUACCACCCUUAUUUUACUUAGGCGGAAACUGGGAAACAGCAAGGUUUUGCUCAAGACAUCACACAGCUAGUGACAGAGGCAGGAUUCACACUCAGGCAGUCUGACUUUGGAGUCCACAUAUUGUUCCUCCCACCAAAAAAAGAAAAGAAAAGAAAACAAGAAGCUUGGUUUACACAGAGGGAAGCUUCCUAACUUUUCUGCUCAAGGCUUUGAGCUACUUCAUGGAAGAUAAAAAAUUACAGCUAAGUCGGUAAAAUCAUAUUUAAAGAGAGGAUUCUGUAUAAAAAUCCAUUUUCAUGCCUGUGGUGGAGGCCCUAUGCUUCAGAAGCACCCAAGGGGACCUUCAGAAUGCAGAGCCUCCAUCCCUGUCCUCCCAGAUGAUACAUGUUAACACUGUAUUGUUGAUAUGGUUUAAAUGAAUUCUCUAUGCUUAAUGAGUUUGUCAAUAACUUUAAUCCUUGCAUAUACAAAUCAGUCUUUUUGAUUAAAAAAAGGAACUUUAAUUGUUUUAUUUUCUUUUAAUUCAGGGCUCUGCUUGUGAUACUAUUUUGAUGUCUCUACAAACAUCCCAUAACCACCACCU